UUCCGGAGAGACGGUGAACAACCAGGGACUGGAAUGUUUAAGAUUCCUCAAAAUAUCUGAUUUUCACGUGGUAUGCUUAAACGGUAUUGUCAUAUUCAACGGCCAACGCUCGUCUAAAUUACAUAAGACUAAUGAACGUUACAGCUUUUUGAGCAACCACGGUACCAAGACAUCAUUAAAAUCAAAACUAUUGGUUCAUCUUAUAUGGCGGCUAGCUGGUUAAACUCGGCAAGAAAGGUUAAGGCCGAAGAUUCAAUCGAAAUAAGAUGGGCACAUCUAGCGUUUCUCGUCGACUUCGCUGUUGAUCUGAAAAAAUAAUUGCAAUGAUUUAACGAACAAAGUUUCAACCACUUUGUAUUACAAAUGGCUUCACUUCCUGGUAUGUGGACAAGAACCAUAAAAAUUGGCAGCUUAAACAUUUAACAUGACUAGUUGGAAACUUGGUCAGGCGUAUCGUCCAGAUUAUCUCAUAAAGAAUAUGCAAGUUGAUCAUCAAAUUGCAAUUUUCACAUGUCCUACAACAUGGCAAGUAUGUUUUAAUUUAUAACAGUUUUGUAACUGAGUUAUCUAAACU
This is a long non-coding RNA of Adelges cooleyi (spruce gall adelgid), 574 nucleotides long. RefSeq lists it as uncharacterized. The transcript is spliced from 3 exons. The record is from RefSeq and is a predicted model, not a curated record. Lineage: Eukaryota; Metazoa; Arthropoda; Insecta; Hemiptera; Adelgidae.